RNAcentral lists this long non-coding RNA (1278 nucleotides) under Durio zibethinus. Its description in RNAcentral is "long non-coding RNA (DZIB_LNC001175)". Lineage: Eukaryota; Viridiplantae; Streptophyta; Magnoliopsida; Malvales; Malvaceae. The record is from RNAcentral.
CCGUUUCUUUUUCCUACAUUUUUUUUUCACACUAUAAAAACCAAACCCAUUUUUCUUAUUUCAUUUCUGCUUCCCUUAGAAAAAAAUUCUCAUAUCUUCUCCAAAACAAAAUAGACCACCACCUAUCUCAUACCCAUACUCAGGCGGUUGGCCACUGUGGCGUCACCGUCCACCGUCAGCUCACCUCCUUUUCAACUCAAACUUCACCCAGAGCCUUAUAUUCACCUUCUCUUUCUCGUUCUCCAAAUGGUUUUCCUAAAAAUUGCCUCUAAAGCCAUAGAUCUGGGAUUUUGAAUGGAAACUUCACAUCAACAUUUCACCCUCUUACCACCAUCACUCUACCUUUUUAGUAAGCUGUUCCUCUUCUUUCUUCCUUUCUUUCCACCAUUCGAAUUUGAAAAACUUGCUGUCGUUUGUCGCCUAUCAUUAUAUCGUCGCUCCUGCCGUUCACGGUGGUUUCUGUCCUCUUACCCUCUAAAGCUUAGUGUCGAAAGUCUUCAAAGAUCACUUAAACUAGACCCUUAAUCCCUUUUAUAUUUUAUUUUUUGUGCUUUUUUUAUUUUUUAUUUAUUGAUUGGUCCCUAAAAGGGAAUGAGAAAAUUUUUUUUUAUGGGUUUGUGUCGAAGGGAUGAUGGUAGUAAUCGACUGUGGGUCUAGAGGGUAAUGGGUGAUUUGAGUGUUAUUGGUGGUGUUGGUUGGCGAAGGUAGAGGGUGUCGACAGUAAGGAGUUUUUGGUUAGAAUGGAGCUUGGUGGGUGAUGGCAAUAAAUUCAGGUAUGCAUGGUUUAUGGAAAGGGUGGUUUUCGGUGGUUAUUCUAAGUAAUGAUGUGCGGUUAUAGAAAGGAUGGGGUUGUUCUUGGUACUGUAUUGAAUCUGGUGGUGGUGUGGCAGUGUUUUCGGUGAUGGUGCUUGUCAAGUUGAGAACUUAAUGCUUGUGGGGUUGCAAUGGUGGUUUCGAUUUUUUGGUUAAGGGUGGAUAGGCAUUUGUUUUUUUUUGUGUAGAAUGUUUUUCGUUGUUGAGCCGAAUGCUUCCUUUUAUCUAUAAAUUUCUUGUUGUGACCUGCAAGCUGGUUGCAGGGUCUGGUUUGUACGGUAGUGGAGGUCGUUAUGGAUUCUUGUGGCCAGAAUUUUACCUCUAGUAUAGUGGUUGCUGGCCACUUCCGCCUGUUUGGUUUGUUUUCUUGUUUUUUUUUUGUGAUUUUUUAUUUUUUAAGUAAUAAAAAUAAAAAUGAAAUUGGUUUUAAAAUGAAAAUUUGGAUUCCAUUAAUUUUGGGACCUU